GACGAACGCUGGCGGCAUGCCUAAUACAUGCAAGUCGAACGCGACCAGCCGGUGCUUGCACUGGCGAAGUCGAGUGGCGAACGGGUGAGUAACACGUGAGAAACCUACCCUGGAGUGGGGAAUAACUCGAAGAAAUUCGAGCUAAUACCGCAUACCUUCUUACCGUCGAAUGGUGGUUUGAAGAAAGAUUUAUCGCUCUGGGAGGGUCUCGCGGCCUAUCAGCUAGUUGGUGAGGUAACGGCUCACCAAGGCAUCGACGGGUAGCUGGUCUGAGAGGACGAUCAGCCACACUGGAACUGAGACACGGUCCAGACUCCUACGGGAGGCAGCAGUAGGGAAUCUUGCGCAAUGGGCGAAAGCCUGACGCAGCAAUGCCGCGUGCGGGACGAAGGCCCUAGGGUCGUAAACCGCUUUCAGUAGGGACGGAAAAUAGACGGUACCGUACGUCAGAAGAAGAC
RNAcentral lists this ribosomal RNA (458 nucleotides) under uncultured bacterium. Its description in RNAcentral is "bacterial SSU rRNA". It matches the Rfam family "Bacterial small subunit ribosomal RNA", at positions 28 to 495 of the family's 1533-position model. The record is from RNAcentral.